UUUAAGGCAAGGUUUUUCUCACUGGCCUUGUGGUGAGCUCAGCUCAUUGCUGGUUUUCACAUUACAGCACAACUUAGAAAUUGUGGCCAAAAUUCUUUCAAAUAAAUGUCCUCUGGGAGUCUGGUGACUUGACUCUUGGUAGCAGCUCUCUGCAGAAUGUAGGGCAUGUAUUAGGACACCCAGGGAUGCAUUAAGUGAAGGAACUGAAGCAGCUGAGAUCUGAGCUCUGUGCAUCAAUUGUUUAAAAAUCACCUUGUGCAGGUGUUGCUUCAAGGGGGUAUAGCUCAGUGGUAGAGCAUUUGACUGCAGAUCAAGAGGUCCCUGGUUCAACUCCAGGUGCCCCCUUCACACUGUGGACUUUUUUCCUGAGAAAAACCAUGAGGAGCAUUCCUUAUUUUUAAACCCUGUCUGUUUGUGCCUUGCCCAGAGAGCUGGUUUCCAGAAUUCCAUUUUCAUGACACUGCAUUCAUCUAAGGAUAUACAACCAAAAUCAGUAUCUGUGUCUGUGUAAAGGCAUCAUGCCAGUUGCUGGGCCAUAGUAGUUGUUGGAUCAAUGAGGAAACUGCACUGGUUCUAGCCUGUGUAAGUAUUUAUUCAGCAUUGUUGUCUGUAAUUCUGGUUGUCUGUUGUUGCUAUAGCAUGUAUGUUAAGAAUCAAAGGAUGAUGUCAUAUAAAAACGUUAACCCAUCAACAUAAAAACUGGGCUUUUUUGUUUUUCAGUGCUCCUUGUGUGGUUGUUGAGCCAAGGGGGUAUAGCUCAGUGGUAGAGCAUUUGACUGCAGAUCAAGAGGUCCCUGGUUCAACUCCAGGUGCCCCCUCUUCACCUUCUUUUCCAGCCUUUCUUCUUCCCAAGUCCUUCACAGACAGGAUUCUUACUCUUCAGAAGUCUUCAGGAUCACUUCUACCAAACACAAAAAAGUUUGAGUGUUUCCAGGUUUACUCUGGUUCUCCUGAGCAAAUACACGUACACACAAAUAGCAUAGAGCAGUAGAGGCAAUGCAGGUCUAGUUCUUCCUGCCCGAGCAGUUGUUGCUAAUUGAGGUAAUUUCUAGAAAGCCAUUAUACUCGGUGUGUGACAGGUGCCUGUGCCCCCGCGGGGAUCGAACCCCGCACCCCAGCAGCCGCAGGCAGACGCGCUGCCCCUGAGCCACGCCCCCAUCAUCGGGCCGU
RNAcentral lists this transfer RNA (1170 nucleotides) under Numida meleagris (helmeted guineafowl). RNAcentral's name for it is "lncRNA (ENSNMEG00000003026.1)". The stretch from base 274 to 345 matches the Rfam family "tRNA". The record is from RNAcentral. Lineage: Eukaryota; Metazoa; Chordata; Aves; Galliformes; Numididae.